CAGGAGUAAUGGCCUCCCUAAUGUGAGUGCCUAGGGUGAGCCAAAGAAGCAAUGGAGUUUGCAUAGUCUCUGCCAUGGAUGCGAAAUGGUUCACUGAAAUUCAAUGGAUUGUUUUACAGUAAUUGCACACAAGUUGGAGAAACAUUUCUGUGUGAUGGGUGCAACGGUACUCCCUCUCGCAGAAUUGGUGCGCGAUUCACUAAUCUUUGUAGAUCCGGCACACAUGAGGGACGGGUGCAUUCACGCCCGUCUCUAAGAGGCUAUGAAGCUUUGACCGCCAUGGUGGGAGGAAGGAAACACAGCAAGACAUCCCUAUAGGGUGGAGCAUAAGCCGGAGUAUCCAAUAAGAGAUAAGGAAGAUGACAUCUGUUACUCUUCCCUUACAAUUUGCUUUGGCACCCCACCAUAUGAUUUCACUUUUUUCACCAUCUUCAUUUCACGUUGAACAACAUGGAUAGUGUCAUUAAUUAUGUGACCAUAACUCAACUUUUCUAUGCAAGACUCACUUUAACCGUCAUUA
Molecule: long non-coding RNA, 520 nt
Organism: Rosa rugosa (rugosa rose)
Lineage: Eukaryota; Viridiplantae; Streptophyta; Magnoliopsida; Rosales; Rosaceae
Exons: 2
Source: RefSeq, a predicted model, not a curated record